UUUCCGUAGGUGAACCUGCGGAAGGAUCAUUACCGGGCUCAGGGGGGGAAACCCCCCGAACUCCCAACCCUUGCUUACCUACCACGUUGCUUCGGCGGGUUCACGCCCGCCGGAGGUCAAUCAAACUCUUAUUCACAGACGUCAGAGCGAAUGCGAAAAUAAGUAAAAACUUUCAACAACGGAUCUCUUGGUUCUG
This 196-nucleotide unclassified non-coding RNA is filed under the name plant metagenome. RNAcentral describes it as "partial contains small subunit ribosomal RNA, internal transcribed spacer 1, and 5.8S ribosomal RNA". The record is from RNAcentral.